AUCUGCCUUUUGGGGGGCUCUGAGGUGAGGUGCCAGGAUGGACACGAGAGAGCAGCUGCUGCAUAUCCUGGAUGAUCUGUCCAAGGAGGAGUUUGAGAAGUUCAAGUUUUACCUGUCCCAUGUGGGCACGGCUCCCCACAUAGGCCGUGGGAAGCUGGACGGCACCUCCCCCACCCAGGUGGCUGAGCUGCUGAUGCAGAGGUACCCCCAGGAAGCGCUAGACAUCAUCCACCAGGUGCUGCACAAGAUCCCAAGGCUGGACCUGGUCCAGGGCAGCCAGCUCCAGACAGGAGGAGAAACUGGGAACAGCGGCAACGAUGCAAAUCACAGUGAGGCUGCAAAUAGCGGCGCCGGGGCAAGGGAGCCACAGGCCCACGGGAAGCAGAGUCUGGUUUCAGAGCAGCAGCUGAUGAAGCUGGCAGGGAAAAUGGGCAAGACCUGGAGGCAGAUCGGCAUCGAGUUCCUGGGCCUGGAGAAUCACGUUCUGGAGCAGAUUGAGGAGAACAAUCCUGGCGACACCAAACAGCGAGCUUUCAGUAUGCUCUUGGAGUGGAGGAAACGAGCGAAGCAGGACGCCACUGCCAUCAACCUUUGCUCCAUUCUCUCCCAGGGCGAGGGGGCCCUCCAGCCUGAGGCCCUCGACUGCCUCCGGGGCACAGGCAGGGCCUAAGGAGAUCUGGGGGGCUUAGUCCAGGGCAGUGGGUCUCAACCAAGGGUCUGUGAGCACGGCCAUUGUUAACCACUCUGUGGCCCAGGGCAGGAAGCUGAAGACCUGCUGUGCAGGGCUGAAGCCAAAGCCUGAGCAACAUAGGUUGGCGUGGGACCCCAGGAAGUUCCCCUGCUUGCUAGCCUCUAACGCUAGCCUUGGCUUGUAUAUGCAGAAAAAUAGUUGUUGUGGAACUGGUGGGCCAAAGAGUUUUUAUAGCAUUGGGUGGGGUGGGGGGAAUGGUGCUCAGCAAGAAAAAAGUUGCGAACCCCGGGUCCAGGGGAUGGAGUGGCCUUGUGAUCAAAGGACUAGCACAGUACUGUGGGGACCUUGAUUCAAUUGCCAGUGGUGCUUUAGUUUUGGGGUGUCUGAUUUGAGACUCCCCCACCCCUGGGGCCUGACUUGCAGAGAAGCCGAGCACCCACUGCUCCCGUUGAUCUUGGCUGGAGUGGAGGGUGCUCGGAAACCAGGCCAUGGGUGGCAGCCAGGAAUCAGUAGCCACUUUGGAAAAUACUGGCCUCCAUCCAGUGCCUCAGUUUACCUACAUGUGCAAUGGGGAAAACAUGGCCAGAUUCUCCAAAGAGCUCAGUGUCCAGCAGCUCCCAUUACUUGCAUGGGGAAGUGGGGGGAGGAGAAGAGUUGCUCAGGGGGCUGGAUGUACUUCUUUUAAAGCCACUUUCACUGCCAGCAGCCUCAAGUGCCACCAGCUCAGGCCCCAGAUAUGUAUCUGGCUGCUGCUCUCAUCCAGCCUAUCACCACUUGCUAGCUGGGGUGGGUCAGUCCAAGCAGGGGCCCCAGGACAGCCCCAGGGAAUGGAUUGGGGCAGGAGGAGACACCUGUGAUCUGGGGGAGCUAUAAAGUGGGAGACCCUGUGGAGGCUGAGCUGGGCUCUUCCCCACUUACAGGAACAUCACUCCACGAAGAACCUGGGGAUCUUCUCUUCCUGGGGGAUCCACUCCCCCAAUCUCUCCUUGGAGUCUCCUCUAGGCAGCUCUUUUUUUAAAGACUCUUUUUACCCAGAAGCACAACUGAAGCCUUUUUGUACUUGCAAAGAAAUAAACGUCCUCAAAGCCAGCA
This is a long non-coding RNA of Chelonoidis abingdonii (Abingdon island giant tortoise), 1783 nucleotides long. Lineage: Eukaryota; Metazoa; Chordata; Testudines; Testudinidae. The record is from Ensembl.